GCUUCUGUGGCGCAAUUGGUUAGCGCGUUCGACUGUUAGUCUCUACCUUAGCUAAGCAAUCGAGAGGUUGGCAGUUCAAGCCUGCCCAGGAGCG
Powellomyces hirtus is the source of this 94-nucleotide non-coding RNA. The record is from the annotation of a GenBank genome assembly. NCBI's taxonomy places the organism in Eukaryota, Fungi, Chytridiomycota, Chytridiomycetes, Spizellomycetales, Powellomycetaceae.